GUCCAGGUAGUUUAGUUGGUAGAGCACCUGUACGUGGUGAGCGAAGCUAGCAUUAACUGGCAGGUGGUCGCAGGAUCGAAGCCUGCCUGGGAUU
Molecule: non-coding RNA, 94 nt
Organism: Meloidogyne enterolobii
Lineage: Eukaryota; Metazoa; Nematoda; Chromadorea; Rhabditida; Meloidogynidae
Source: the annotation of a GenBank genome assembly